Molecule: ribosomal RNA, 497 nt
Filed under: uncultured bacterium
Lineage: Bacteria
Description: partial 16S ribosomal RNA
Rfam family: Bacterial small subunit ribosomal RNA
Source: RNAcentral
GAUGAACGCUGGCGGCGUGCCUAAUACAUGCAAGUCGAGCGAACAGACGAGGAGCUUGCUCCUCUGACGUUAGCGGCGGACGGGUGAGUAACACGUGGAUAACCUACCUAUAAGACUGGGAUAACUUCGGGAAACCGGAGCUAAUACCGGAUAAUAUAUUGAACCGCAUGGUUCAAUAGUGAAAUACGGUUUUGCUGUCUCUUAUAGAUUGUUCCGCGCCGCAUUAGCUAGUUGGUAAGGUAACGGCUUACCAAGGCAACGAUGCGUAGCCGACCUGAGAGGGGGAUCGGCCACACGGGAACUGAGACACGGUCCAGACUCCUACGGGAGGCAGCAGUAGGGAAGAUUCCGCAAUGGGCGAAAGCAUGACGGAGCAACGCCGCGGGAGUGAUGAAGGUCUUAGGAUCGUAAAACUCUGUUAUUAGGGAAGAAAAAAUGUGUAAGUAACUAUGCACGUAUUGACGGUAACGAAUCAGAAAGCAACGGCUAACUACGUG